Molecule: ribosomal RNA, 420 nt
Filed under: Fusobacteriota bacterium
Lineage: Bacteria; Fusobacteriati; Fusobacteriota
Description: Fusobacteria bacterium partial 16S ribosomal RNA
Rfam family: Bacterial small subunit ribosomal RNA
Source: RNAcentral
UGGGGGAUAUUGCACAAUGGGCGAAAGCCUGAUGCAGCGACGCCGCGUGGGGGAUGAAGGCCUUCGGGUUGUAAACUUCCUUUGCUUUGAACAAGGCAUGCCUUUGGGGUGUGUUGAGUGUAGGGGUUGAUUAGCGCCGGCUAACUACGUGCCAGCAGCCGCGGUAAUACGUAGGGCGCGAGCGUUGUCCGGAAUUAUUGGGCGUAAAGGGCUUGUAGGUGGCUGGUUGCGUCUGUCGUGAAAGCUCAUGGCUUAACUGUGGGUUUGCGGUGGGUACGGGCUGGCUUGAGUGCAGUAGGGGAGGCUGGAAUUCCUGGUGUAGCGGUGGAAUGCGCAGAUAUCAGGAGGAAUACCGGGGGCGAAGGCGGGUCUCUGGGCUGUUACUGACGCUGAGGAGCGAAAGCGUGGGGAGCGAACAGG